Molecule: long non-coding RNA, 206 nt
Filed under: Mytilus galloprovincialis (Mediterranean mussel)
Lineage: Eukaryota; Metazoa; Mollusca; Bivalvia; Mytilida; Mytilidae
Source: RNAcentral
CUGGUGUAUCAAAUUAUAUUAAGCCUGGUACAUUUGAUAACUAUCAUGAACAUGUGAUGAGUUCAACGUUUGUAUCUGGCACUUCAAUUUCCUUGAUUUGAUUUCCAACAUAGAAAUGACAUUAUUUAUUUAGUUGAACGCAUAAUAAUUUUUUUUAGAAACGAACUUAAACUAUCGAGUCUCAAAACGGCGACUGCACCAGUGUU